This 465-nucleotide ribosomal RNA is filed under the name uncultured bacterium. Its description in RNAcentral is "partial 16S ribosomal RNA". It matches the Rfam family "Bacterial small subunit ribosomal RNA", at positions 338 to 795 of the family's 1533-position model. The record is from RNAcentral.
CCUACGGGUGGCAGCAGUAGGGAAUAUUGCGCAAUGGGCGAAAGCCUGACGCAGCGACGCCGCGUGAGGGAUGAAGGUCUUCGGAUCGUAAACCUCUGUCAGCAGGGAAGAACGGUCACUGUGCUAAUCAGCAGUGAAUUGCCGGUACCUGCAAAGGAAGCACCGGCUAACUCCGUGCCAGAAGCCGCGGUAAUACGGUGGGUGCGAGCGUUAAUCGGAAUUACUGGGCGUAAAGCGCUCGUAGGCGGUAUGUCAAGUCAAGGGGGAAAUCCCCGCGCUCAACGUGGGAACUGCCUUUGAAACGGGCAAACUGGAGUGUGUGAGAGGAUAGUGGAAUUCCAGGUGUAGGAGUGAAAUCCGUAGAUAUCUGGAGGAACAUCAGUGGCGAAGGCGACUAUCUGGCACAUAAUUGACGCUGAGGAGCGAAAGCGUGGGUAGCAAACAGGAUUAGAUACCCUGGUAGUC